GCCUUGCGAGCCAGCCGUAUUCACACGAGAUCACGGGAUAAUCCUAAACCUAAUGUUCUCACCUUCCACUCCCAAAACUACUGCAAUUAAAUGCCAGGGUUUGUCCUUUCUGACAUUGUCCUUAUAAAAAGGAUGAUUUAUUUCAUACAUUUUUUUAUGUUGCUCCACUUCGACAAUCAGUCUCUCGUCGUCCAUGUUGCCGACCCUCUGAUUGAUUGACUGCUAGUCUGGCUGAGCGGAAAUGGACAGCGUCUAUACACUAAUCCGGCGAAACAGGAAGUAAAGCAGCGCCGACAUUGCUGAGUUGCUGGAAACAGGUGACUUAACGUGUUUUGCUAAGGAAGUAGCGUGUUGGUCCCCGUAGGCGGUUGUUGCUGAUAAUAAUAUAAUUGUAGUGCGUAUGUGAUUGUAGCCUAAUUGAAGAGGGCGUCUAACCAAUUCCGACGGGUGCGAAGUGUAUAAAUUAUGAUGGCAAGGCUGUACAUGAUCUGGGAAACUUGUUUGUUACAUGAAUUUAUGUUGGAUUCGUGGAAAUUGACAAAUGCAUGUAUAUCGAGCUGCUUAACUACAAAAGAGAUGGCUCAUAUCCCCCAGGUAUUUCUAAGGAGCAGAAAUAUAUCAUUCGAAGGCGCUUCGCCCAUUUCCUACUAGAUGGUAACGAUAUGCCUACCUCAAAAACAAUUCCCUGAUCUCCUGCUCUUAUCAAUAGCUUAACAGAAAAAAGGACGUGUUUCUUGUAGGCUACUGACAACAACCUUGUUUCAAUAGGUGAUACAAUGUAUUACAUAUCUUCGAAAAAUGAAAUGGAGGUGCACAAGAAAGUUCUGGUUGGCGCGGAGGAGGCCAAUCAGAUUCUUUGGGAUUUUCAUGAUAGUGCUCAUGGAGGCCACUGUGGAACCCAAAAAAACAAAUAUUCAGUCACCGCCAGGUUUUACUGGCCUGGAUUGGGGGUUGACUUGGAUAAAUGGGUUUCACAGUGGGCUAAAUGACAAUACACCAGGCUCUCCAUUAAAAAGGAGCCAGAAUAUAUCCCAAUCCAUGUUGACCACCCACUUGAGUUAGUUGGGAUGGACUUGGUUGGAAAACUAACUCCAUCAGAUGAUGGAAACAUGUAUAUGUGUGUCAUGGUCGACUACUAUACCAAAUGGGCAGAGGUCUAUGCCAUACCCAAUAAGAGUGCUGAGGUGGUCACCCAGUGCAUCAUCAACUUUUUUUACAGGUUUGUUGCACCACAACGCAUCCUCACAGAUCAGGGCAGUGAGUUUGUGAAUGAGUUUGCUGAACACCUCCUGGAAGGGUCAAGCUCAUUACAAUUCCCGACAUCAAACAUAUAUGACCUGAGGAGGGGAAAUAGCCACCACCAUCAUGACUGGAUCUGAUGACUUGAGUGACUUGUGUCAUUUCUGUGGGGAGGAAGACACCUUUGAUAAAACGGAAAACGUUACUUGGAUUGCGUGUGAUGCCUGUCUGAGGUGGUUUCACACAGGGUGUGUCGGAAAUCCAGCCAUGGAGAUGCCUGUUUAGCAUGCCUGCGUCCAUUAAAUAGGCUACUAGGGCUGGGCAAGUUGGCACCCAAUUAAGCGUUAACGCAAUCUUGUCUUUUUUUUUACAAAUGGACGCAUUAAAGCGCGUUAUGAUUAAAGGUGACCUUGACAGGUGGUUUGAUCUCCUGUUGUCCUGGAUGGGUAGAAUAAGUUUAAUUAAGAUGAAUGUACUUCCCAGGAUAUUGUACUCCAUGCGAAUGCUGCCAUUAAAGAUCAAUAGGAAAGUAAUUUUGGGUAUCGAACGAUCUGUCGAAAUUCAUAUGGCACGGAAAGAAAGCUAGAAUAAAGAUGAAGAUAUUGCAAUCACCAAUAGACGGGGGGGUCAUGCAUUCCCUAAUUUUCUAUACUACAAUUGGGCUUGUCACGCCCGUAUAAUAUCAGGUUGGCUUAGAUAUUUUCUACAUCAAAGGGAGCCUCCUUUGGAUGCUUGGUGAUGCGCCCCUCCAUCUAUUUUCAGCCUUGCCUCAACUGCCUUAGGUGAACUCCCAGCAGAGGUUAAAAAUAACUUUAUUAUGCUUGACACACUUAGGAUUUGGAGUGAUAUCUCUAAACACAUUGGCCGAAGAGAGUCUUCAUCAGCGUUACAACCUUUAACUAGGAACAAAGCUUUCACUCCAGGCAUUGGAGUGACCAUUUUCGAUGAUUGGUUUUCAAAGGACCCAAGAUUUGUUUCUGAUUUAUUUAAAGACGGUAAUUUCAUGUCAUUCAUUCAAAUCCAAAAUAAGUUCCAAGUAGCACGUAACCACUUCUUUGGUUUUCUCCAAGUGAGGCAUUUUGUAAAAUCGUAUCUUAAAUUACCGAAUGAUAAACCAAUGUUAAGUCCUAUUGAAAGCUUCGUUCUUAAUUUUAAUGCCUUUAAUGACAAGAAAUGUCUUUCUCUCUUAUGGAAAAUUAAUGCCUUUAACUCUGCUAAUUCUGACAGAGCGAGGAACCUAUUGGAAAAGGACUUGGAGGUUGAACUCAGCACAGGGGCCCGGUACAAUGCUUUUAUGUCUGCUAAGAAAAUAUUUACAUGCAACAGACUCCGGGGAGUCAAUAUAGAAUAUUACACAGAAUGCAGCGUACUCCUCACUUCCUACAAAAAAUUAAUCCUGAGAACUCUCCCCUCUGACUAAGUGUAUUAAAGAAAUAGAAAAACCUACUACCACUGUAUUUCGCAAUGUCGUUUAAUAUCCAGAUACUGGAAAAACGUCGCUAGGGAGCUUAGUUCAAUUUUUCAAAAAAAAAUACAUUGGACCCAGCUUUGUUCCUUCUGAGUAUACCUACGGCACAGCUCACUCUACCCACUGGACAGUUGAUUUUAUUGUAUAAAAUUCUGCUUUUAGCAAGGCCUUGUAUUCUGUUCCAGUGGAUUCAGGAGAAGCCACCCUCGAUUACAGAAUGGUACAGAGAAACAUUUCAGGCUUUUUCUAUGGAACGUCUUAGUGUUGUCUUAAAAGGUAACACCAAUGCUUUCUAUGAUGUAUGGCAACCCUUUCUUGAUUAUCAUCCUAAUGAUCUUGUUGAGCUAUUGCAGAAAGGACGCCCACACCUUGUUUUCACAAAUAAAUAGAUUGUUUAUUCUCUUCCCUUGACAUGACUCCAUUGUAAAGAAUGCUUAUGAUAUGAUCCAAAUAUGUGUUGAUGUAUCCAAUUUUUUUGUAACUUGGCAAGAUCUGUGCUGUGUUCUUUGUUUAACAAAAAAAAUCAA
Long non-coding RNA from Gadus chalcogrammus (walleye pollock), 3234 nucleotides. RefSeq lists it as uncharacterized. NCBI's taxonomy places the organism in Eukaryota, Metazoa, Chordata, Actinopteri, Gadiformes, Gadidae. The transcript is spliced from 6 exons. The record is from RefSeq and is a predicted model, not a curated record.